GCUCUGGUAGCUCAGUUGGUUAGAGCGUGCGACUGUUAAUCGCGAGGUCAUAGGUUCGAUCCCUAUCCGGAGCG
Molecule: transfer RNA, 74 nt
Filed under: Balneola sp.
Lineage: Bacteria; Pseudomonadati; Balneolota; Balneolia; Balneolales; Balneolaceae
Description: tRNA-Asn
Rfam family: tRNA
About the family: Transfer RNA (tRNA) molecules are approximately 80 nucleotides in length. Their secondary structure includes four short double-helical elements and three loops (D, anti-codon, and T loops). Further hydrogen bonds mediate the characteristic L-shaped molecular structure. tRNAs have two regions of fundamental functional importance: the anti-codon, which is responsible for specific mRNA codon recognition, and the 3' end, to which the tRNAs corresponding amino acid is attached (by aminoacyl-tRNA synthetases). tRNAs cope with the degeneracy of the genetic code in two manners: having more than one tRNA (with a specific anti-codon) for a particular amino acid; and 'wobble' base-pairing, i.e. permitting non-standard base-pairing at the 3rd anti-codon position.
Source: RNAcentral